AUGUUGAGAACACGCAACUCAGUUCCGUACAGCGAGAGCUCUGCAAUGGCAGCAAGAGGGAAUCAGCCUCGGCCACCACAAAAGAAAACCCGCCCCUGGUGUGAUUGUUCAAAGGCAAGGAGGGCAGAGGUAACACAUCAUUUAACAAUCAAGAAGCUGAGAUAUACUCUAACUCAUCUCUUUUUAGCAAAGAACAAAUGGAGGCUCUUCAAAAACUCUUUUAGCAAACCAUGUUAA
This is a non-coding RNA of Vicia faba (fava bean), 237 nucleotides long. Lineage: Eukaryota; Viridiplantae; Streptophyta; Magnoliopsida; Fabales; Fabaceae. The record is from the annotation of a GenBank genome assembly.